UACGUAGGUGGCGAGCGUUGUCCGGAUUUACUGGGCGUAAAGCGCGCGCAGGCGGACUGAUCAGUCUGGGGUGAAAUCUCACGGCUCAACUGUGAGCGGUCCCUGGAUACUGUCAGUCUUGAGAUGUCUAGAGGAGAGCGGAAUUCCCGGUGUAGUGGUGGAAUGCGUAGAUAUCGGGAAGAACAUCAGUGGCGAAGGCGGUCUGCUGGGCCGUUGCUGACGCUGAGGCGCGACAGCGUGGGGAGCAAACAGG
This 253-nucleotide ribosomal RNA is filed under the name uncultured bacterium. RNAcentral's name for it is "partial 16S ribosomal RNA". It matches the Rfam family "Bacterial small subunit ribosomal RNA", at positions 524 to 776 of the family's 1533-position model. The record is from RNAcentral.